UGCCAGCCGCCGCGGUAAUACGAAGGGUGCAAGCGUUGUUCGGAUUUAUUGGGCGUAAAGCGUGCGCAGGCGGAUAUGUAAGUCAGGUGUGAAAUCUCGGGGCUCAACCCCGAAACUGCGCCUGAAACUACUUAUCUAGAAUCUCGGAGGGGGUAGGGGAAUUUCGCAUGUAGGGGUAAAAUCCGUAGAGAUGCGAAGGAACACCGGAGGCGAAGGCGCCUACCUGGACGAGUAUUGACGCUGAGGCACGAAAGCGUGGGGAGCAAACAGGAUUAGAUA
RNAcentral lists this ribosomal RNA (279 nucleotides) under uncultured bacterium. Its description in RNAcentral is "partial 16S ribosomal RNA". It matches the Rfam family "Bacterial small subunit ribosomal RNA", at positions 506 to 784 of the family's 1533-position model. The record is from RNAcentral.